Molecule: long non-coding RNA, 304 nt
Filed under: Brassica rapa (field mustard)
Lineage: Eukaryota; Viridiplantae; Streptophyta; Magnoliopsida; Brassicales; Brassicaceae
Description: long non-coding RNA (BRAP_LNC007637)
Source: RNAcentral
GAGAACUGCAAAAACAGAAUGAACUCGAAAUUCCAAGGAGUUAGAACCAAAAUGCGUGACAAUUGAUAAAGAGGUUAAAGAGUUUGGCUUAGGGUUCUAUUCUUAAGGGAGAGGAGUUUGCGGCGAGUGGGGGCUAAGUGGGAAGUGGGAUGGGUUAGCCUUAUAUAUGCAAACCCUAACCGCUUCCUCUUCUUUUUUUUCUUUUUUCUUUUUAGGGUACGAAGACUUACCUGAGGGAACAGCUGUUCUCCAGCGAGAACAGUCUACGGAUUGUCCCUCCGGGAAACUUCAGUUUUCAUUUUCC